CAGUAGCCGCGGUAAAACGAAGGGGGCUAGCGUUGCUCGGAAUUACUGGGCGUAAAGGGAGCGUAGGCGGGUCGUUUAGUCAGAGGUGAAAUCCCGGGGCUCAACCUGGGGGCUGCGUUUGAUACUUGGUUGCUUGAGUGGGGAAGAGGGUCGUGGAAUUCCCAGUGUAGAGGUGAAAUUCGUAGAUAUUGGGAAGAACACCGGUGGCGAAGGCGGCGACCUGGUCCUUUACUGACGCUGAGGCGCGAGAGCUAGGGGAGCAAACAGGAUUAGAUACCCCAGUAGUCCCUGUCUCUUAUAC
RNAcentral lists this ribosomal RNA (301 nucleotides) under uncultured bacterium. RNAcentral's name for it is "partial 16S ribosomal RNA". It matches the Rfam family "Bacterial small subunit ribosomal RNA", at positions 509 to 807 of the family's 1533-position model. The record is from RNAcentral.